AGGUCAGUCAACUUUCUACAGAUGAAUCAAGAAAUAAGAGGGUGUGCUGUUUGGAGUUCUGGAGAAGGGCUAUAAAUAGACAUGUGUGAAAGAAGUGGACCCUGGAGGAGGAGGGACAGGAAACAUGCUGGCUGGCUGGCAGGAGGCUCAGCAACUGGCCUUGAACUCUCUUGACCUACCGAAGCUGAGGUUUUCCAUACAAUGCUACUGAGGAGCUCAAGCCGAAUGGAGCUGGCUGAAAUGAAAUAAAAAUAGCCCUUUCCAGUUACGGCUCUGUAGCCAGCAGCUGGAUUGAUAUUCAGAGAGGAUUGGAUUCAAGUAUAAUUGAAUUCAAAGCAUAAUAAAUUGAAGCCAACUCAUUUGACUUAUGA
This 371-nucleotide long non-coding RNA is filed under the name Ictidomys tridecemlineatus (thirteen-lined ground squirrel). RNAcentral's name for it is "lncRNA (ENSSTOG00000033256.1)". The record is from RNAcentral. Lineage: Eukaryota; Metazoa; Chordata; Mammalia; Rodentia; Sciuridae.